Molecule: transfer RNA, 66 nt
Filed under: Erotylidae sp. BMNH 1274391
Lineage: Eukaryota; Metazoa; Arthropoda; Insecta; Coleoptera; Erotylidae
Description: tRNA-Leu
Rfam family: tRNA
About the family: Transfer RNA (tRNA) molecules are approximately 80 nucleotides in length. Their secondary structure includes four short double-helical elements and three loops (D, anti-codon, and T loops).
Source: RNAcentral
UCUAAUAUGGCAGAUUAGUGCAAUGGAUUUAAACCCCAUAUAUAAAGUCUAUAACUUUUUUUAGAA